RNAcentral lists this ribosomal RNA (225 nucleotides) under uncultured bacterium. RNAcentral's name for it is "partial 16S ribosomal RNA". It matches the Rfam family "Bacterial small subunit ribosomal RNA", at positions 1276 to 1500 of the family's 1533-position model. The record is from RNAcentral.
AAAAAAUAGGUCUCAGUUCGGACUGUAGGCUGCAACUCGCCUACACGAAGUUGGAAUUGCUAGUAAUCGUGGAUCAGCAUGCCACGGUGAAUACGUUCCCGGGUCUUGUACACACCGCCCGUCACACCAUGGGAGCUGGUAACACCCGAAGUCGGUAGCCUAACCGUAAGGAGGGCGCCGCCGAAGGUGGGAUUGAUGACUGGGGUGAAGUCGUAACAAGGUAGC